AUGCCAACUCUCUGCAGGAACAUUCAUGACAGGAGCUUCAUGGAAAAGCAAGCAUGGGGCCUGCUCUCUCAACCAGGUGUCCCUGGGGACUUAAUCCUCCUGGGCUGAGCCCCACUCAUCACAUGGGAAUUUAAAAUGCAGGAGUCCUCUGAGGCCAUCGCCACCAUGCUGUGAUAACUCUGUGGAGCUGACUGGCUGGAUUCUUGAUGGUGCUACGUUUGGUUGAAAGCCCAGGAACUCUCCAGGUCUAAGCUGAGCACAGCUCUUACCAGGACCCAAUAGCUGCUGAGCCUGGAUACCCAGAGAAGAAGGUAGUAUUUCUAAGUAUUUGUUUGAU
Molecule: long non-coding RNA, 337 nt
Filed under: Marmota monax (woodchuck)
Lineage: Eukaryota; Metazoa; Chordata; Mammalia; Rodentia; Sciuridae
Source: RNAcentral